UACGGGGGGGGCAAGCGUUGUUCGGAAUUACUGGGCGUAAAGGGCGCGUAGGCGGCCUGCUAAGUCAGAUGUGAAAUCCCUCGGCUCAACCGAGGAACUGCAUCCGAUACUGGCGGGCUUGAAUCCGGGAGAGGGAUGUGGAAUUCCAGGUGUAGCGGUGAAAUGCGUAGAUAUCUGGAGGAACACCGGUGGCGAAGGCGGCAUCCUGGACCGGUAUUGACGCUGAGGCGCGAAAGCUAGGGGAGCAAACGGG
RNAcentral lists this ribosomal RNA (253 nucleotides) under uncultured bacterium. Its description in RNAcentral is "partial 16S ribosomal RNA". It matches the Rfam family "Bacterial small subunit ribosomal RNA", at positions 524 to 776 of the family's 1533-position model. The record is from RNAcentral.